GUCAGCUCGUGUCGUAGAGUGUUCGGUUAAGUCCGGCAACGAGCGCAACCCACAUCCUUAGUUGCCAGCAGGUUAAGCUGGGCACUCUAGGGAAACUGCCCGUGAUAAGCGGGAGGAAGGUGUGGAUGACGUCAAGUCCUCAUGGCCCUUACGGGUUGGGCUACACACGUGCUACAAUGGCAGUGACAAUGGGUUAAUCCCAAAAAACUGUCUCAGUUCGGAUUGGGGUCUGCAACUCGACCCCAUGAAGUCGGAAUCGCUAGUAAUCGCGUAACAGCAUGACGCGGUGAAUACGUUCCCGGGCCUU
RNAcentral lists this ribosomal RNA (307 nucleotides) under uncultured marine bacterium pC2-43. RNAcentral describes it as "bacterial SSU rRNA". It matches the Rfam family "Bacterial small subunit ribosomal RNA", at positions 1054 to 1382 of the family's 1533-position model. The record is from RNAcentral. Lineage: Bacteria; Pseudomonadati; Pseudomonadota; Alphaproteobacteria.